This is a long non-coding RNA of Mesocricetus auratus (golden hamster), 4580 nucleotides long. RefSeq lists it as uncharacterized. The transcript is spliced from 4 exons. Lineage: Eukaryota; Metazoa; Chordata; Mammalia; Rodentia; Cricetidae. The record is from RefSeq and is a predicted model, not a curated record.
AAGCAGGGAGAGCCGACCGAUGACUCUUAGUGGCAUCUGUGAAGACUUCCCAGACAGUUUCGAGUGCUUCUCAUCUGCCUCCUCGGCACACACUCUUCUGUGGAUGUAUAAGGCGUAAGAUGAUGUUAGCUGGGACUGCCUGCCGUUAAGUGGAGGGAUCUUUGUAAAGCCUUUCGUGCUUGUGGGCUGUGGAGAGCACUAACGUGGAAAGUGGCUGGAGUAGCGCGGUGGCUUGAGGAUGCUCCCGGAUCUGGCUCCUGGUGCCCUUGAGCCGAUCCCUCUGCAUUCACCACACCAGUCUGUCACUCAGCAGUGUGGGCGCGACCAGUGGGCUUCUGUGAACUCAGGUGCUGGAGAGAAGGCUCAGAGGUUAAAGGCAUUGGCUGCUCUUCCAGAGGACUGGGUUUGACUUUCAACACCCACACAACAGUUCACAACCAUCUGUAACUCCAGUUCCAGGGGAUCCAAAACCCUCUUCUGGCUUCCCUGAACUCAUCUGAUGCACAGACACACGUGCGAGCAAAAAUACCCAUGCAGGCAGAAUAAAACUAAAAACAAGACGACAAAAAUCUGUAACCUUCCUAGCUUUUUCAUACAACUAGCUCAAAAUUAUUUGUUGUUUUGGAUGGAGACAAUUGAUUCUAUCUGAAUACAUUAAAUGAGAUGAGGAUGUAUUCCUCGUGGCAUGGACUCAUGUAGUCUACUUCUGGGCUCCAAGAGUGUUCAGUGGGGCAGGACAGCCGGGCUCCACUCCCAGCUCCUGAAUUCACUGGUUGUGUGUUCCUACGCCAGCUCCUUAACCCCAUGUGCCUCUGUUUCCUCUUCUAUAAGGUCAGACCAGCGACAGCAGCACCCAAAAUGGUUGGAAGGAGCGCAAGAAAACAUUCAUUAAAUCCCUUACCACUACAGCCAGAACCCCCAAAGCAGCGAGAGAAUUCAGUUGUCGUUUCCGUGCUGUACCUUUUUCAGAUACACUGUGUGGUCUGUUGUGCAUCAGACAGUUUCUAACACAUUGCUUUGGGUUUACGCUGCUGAGGAGAAACGCCUGCAAUGCAUACACUAGGAUCGAGACGGGGUCUCCGGUACCAAACCUGAACAUGGGCUUCACUCUACAUCAGUCAAAACCCCCAGAACUCCCACACAACUGAGAACUGCGUUCCUGCUCGACCAGGGCGGGUGUCAGAAGAGGAAACGGAGAGUUGCUCCGGUCCGCACGUGCUUCUCCCUACCCAGCUCCCUCUGCUUCAGUUUCUCCCCCCACUGAGUUUCCACCUCCUGAUUUCUGACCUCGCUUCUAAAGGUUGCUUGCAGGAUGUUGAUCUUUAAUGUGGCACAAGCCUUGGCCACCUCUGUCCUCAUCUACGAGAUGGGUCCAGCAAGGCUUGCUCUGCGGGACCCCUGUGAGAUGGUGAAAAGCGUGCAUAAACACCUUUCACGCAGUAAGCUGUCCUGAAGCCUCAGGCUCUUCCCCACUAGCUAAAUUAGGACGGCUCCUUUCUGUGCCCCCUCCCUCUCUGCCUCAGGCAUGCUAUUUUAUCCCCCCCACACACACACACACCCUUUUCCUGUUUAGUUUGUUUUUUUUUUUUCUCUCCUCUCCACAGAGACUGCCUUCAGGCAUAUGGCCAGUCCACUAUGCCCUGCCCUGAGCGACUUCUGCAGCAUCGGAAAAGAUUACCGCCACCUGCGCACCGCUGCCAGCAGCAACAGUAGCUGCCAGCCUCUGUGUGGCACUUCAUAAUCAUAACUAGCUUCACACAGCAUUAUUUUUAAUCCUGAUCAUAACUCUAUGGAUAUAUCCUUUCUCAUUUCCUGAGUAACUGAGCCAAGGAGGAACAUGUGCUCAGGGGCCCAGUGAGCACGUACUUUGUCAGUGUUAUGCAACUACCGUUAGCUCCGUCUCAGCUAAUAAUGCAGGGUGAACCGGGCCUGGUGGCUCACAGCCAGCACUCAGGAGGAUGUGGUGGGAGCAGCCACCAGCAAGCCAGCUUGGGCUACCACAGUGAGACCCUAGGCUCAGAAAAGCAAACAAACAUUGGUGGACUAGUGAGAUGGCCUGGUCAAAACGUGCUUGCUGCUCAGGCGUGGGGAUGUGAUAGGGAUUCCCGGAACCCACCUAAACAGCUGCAUUGGCAGGAAGGGCAGGACACUGACAGAAGUACCCCUGGGGCUCACAGACAGCCGAACCUAGCCCAAUAAUGAGUUCCAGGUUCAGUGAGAGACCUGCCUCAGAAACUAAGGUGUAAGAAAUGGGAAAAGGUAUUCACUAUCAAACUCUGGCCUCCACGUGUGAGCCCCAUACGAACACGUGUGUAUACCAAGAAGAAAAAUUGUAAUCAUCUGUAUACAAAUAAAAAAUACAGUGUAGGAUGACACAUGACUCUUUUCAAACUUGAUGUGAGAGAUUUGAGAAGGGUUUCCUCGUAACUCAAUGCUUAAUUUUUACUGUUGGUUAAAAUAACCAACAGUAAAAUGUGCUCGCUGCCCCGCCUUAGGAAACUCUCCUGAUUUACACCGAUCUGGCCAUGUUAAACACUUUCUCAAAGGACAUUUUAAAGGUAGCUAUUGUUGGAGGAACUCAGAGAUCCUGCUUCCAUCUGUGGAAAGCCUGCUAGGUUUCCCUUCCUUGGGGGUACGCCUGAGGCCACCUACCAUCCUCAGGAAUGAUGAUCAUGUAGCCCACACUUUCAUAGUGAAAUCUUGGGCUGCCCUCUCCGUUUAGCCUGUAGUGAGAGGUGAGAGCACCCUGGCUACAUUAUAAUGAGGCAGGCGAGCAUAGGGAAUAGCUUAGCAGCCUGGGACUCCUCUUGGCUUGGGCAGUAAUCCCAGUGAUGCCCUUAGCAGCUUGAGAGUCAUACCCUCUCAUACUUAGACAUUGCACUACUCACACUGAACGAUGGACCUAGCAACUUGGGCCCAAGUGGAUUUUCUUUAUAACUCAAUCUAGAACUAAACUCCUCAAGCCUCGAGUGAAUAGCUUCCAAGGGUGAAUAGCAUGACUCGGUAACAUGACUGAAGACCUUGCCUCCUACACUGCCUAUCCUCACAAUGCUACCACACAAGGUACCUUCCUUCCAACACAUGGACCGUUGGGGAUAACCCUCAGACCACAGCGCCUUUCACAGGAAUGGAAGUUAGGGACGCAAGUAGAUUUUGUGCAUGCUAACCGCUUUGUCCCAUGGAAGAGGAAAGAGGGAAUGAGAACUGCCAAAAGCAAAUGAGAUCCUACCAUUGGACAUUGGUAAGGCAUUGCUGAGCAUCUGCCUUCCCUGAGGACGGUGCCAUUGAGAAGGGCUCCCCCCAGAACUGGACAGCAACAGCAUUCUCACGACAUUUCCUUGCAGGUGUCAAUUAAACCCAGGUGCCAGUGAUUAGAAUAUGGGUGUCUCCGGGAGCUGUUACCCAGUCAGACUACAGCAGUCCAUGCUCACCAAGUGAUGAUUGUGGCAGCAACCAGUUAGAACCGAAUAUGUGCUAAGCCCGAGCUGGGAAAUUCACGAAACGUACUGAGUGAAACCCUGGUGCCAGCAUUUUGAGGAUGGCAAUGUCCCCAUUAAUGGACGAGAGGACUCUUGGUGUCUUCGUAAAGGAUCAGCCUCAAUCUGAGUCCUGCUCUAACUGCAUCCUUCCCUGUGACCACCAUGCCUGGUUCCACAUGGAGAAGAGCAUGGAAACCAUCGGGUGCAAUAUGCAGAUGCCCAGCGUUAAAUUCCUUCCCGCAUAGACCUGUCAAUGGCAAACACAGGUCUGGACCCUAGCCUCUAAGUUCCCCUCUGCAUUUCCCAGGGGAAGCGGGACACUCAUCCAGUGCAUGUCCAAUGCUCAGUGAGUCAUGCCACCCUCAUUUGCUCCCUGCCUCUGCCUUUGGGUGAUCAGAGUGAAGAUCUCAUAAUGGACAUUUUAAAAAUAUUUCUGGCAAUAAUGAUCAGGCUUAUUGUCUCAUUUCUUUUCCUUUUAAAGCUCCAGGGUAGUCUGCAGUCAUGUUUAAAUAAUUACACUGUAACUUUUCUCCCCAGGAAGAAUUUCCCUAGUGAUUUCAAGAUACAGAAUAAAAAGCUUUAAAACUAAAAUCAGUCUGGAUUUUCCCCCUCAUUUUUUUCAGGCAGGGUGUCACGGAGUCCAGGCUGACCUCAAACUUCUGACCCCUCUACUUCCACUUCCCAAGUACUGGGGUUAUAGUCACACGCCAGGCAGCACACGUGGUUAUGGAGUGCUGUGGAUCAGCACAGGGCUCUGUGAAUGCUAGGCAGGUAGUCCACCUGGUGAGUUACAUCCCCAGGCCCCAUGGGGAAAACCGACUCUUAAAUGUGAUUGCUUUUAUAAAAAUGAGAAGGUUGGCACAUGCAAUUGAAAGACCCCUACCCAGGGCCCCCUAGGAAAAGAAAAACAAGGCCAGGCUGUUGCCUAAUGAAAAAACCCAGACCAGGUGCCUCGCCCAGCUGGCGCUUCAAAUAGGAUGCCAAACAGGAUGUCUAUGGUCACCAGAGCAGUCAUGGGACCCGGAUAAUAAUUGCUGAAGCGUGCCGAGGUCGUUCAUGAGGUAAUACCAGGAAACCUAGUCCGUGAGAACUACCCCUGCC